Molecule: long non-coding RNA, 321 nt
Filed under: Elaeis guineensis (African oil palm)
Lineage: Eukaryota; Viridiplantae; Streptophyta; Magnoliopsida; Arecales; Arecaceae
Description: long non-coding RNA (EGUI_LNC046072)
Source: RNAcentral
CCUGCACCCUGAAUAUGUUCAUGAGUAUGGAAUCAUGUCAAACUCAAAUAUAUAUUCAUAUUGAUUCUCAAUUAAUCAAUGAUGACUCUGAUGAAGAAGUAUUAGAAACUCUUUCUAAUCUUCUUCUUACUUUUAGCCAAAAGAUUUUUCUCGACUCAUCUAGGAAUGAGAAUACACAAGAUGCAAUCUUCUCUUACUAGGAGUGAUCGAUUCUAUGUUGAUCUACUCAUAAUCUUCAUACACAUUUUAUCAUAUCCAAAACACCCCGUACAUAUUUUAAUUCCAUGCUUGGGUAUAAAUCAAAAUUUAGAUUCAUGUGUA